RNAcentral lists this ribosomal RNA (403 nucleotides) under uncultured bacterium. Its description in RNAcentral is "bacterial SSU rRNA". It matches the Rfam family "Bacterial small subunit ribosomal RNA", at positions 355 to 775 of the family's 1533-position model. The record is from RNAcentral.
UAGGGAAUUUUGCGCAAUGGGCGAAAGCCUGACGCAGCAACACCGCGUGCGGGAUGAAGGCCUUCGGGUUGUAAACCGCUGUCAGCAGGGAAUAAAUUGACUGUACCUGCAGAGGAAGCACCGGCUAACUACGUGCCAGCAGCCGCGGUAAGACGUAGGGUGCAAGCGUUGUCCGGAUUUAUUGGGCGUAAAGAGUUCGUAGGCGGUUACCUAAGUCUGGUGUUAAAGCCCGGAGCUCAACUCCGGCAUGGCAUUGGAAACUGGGUGGCUAGAGUAUGGUAGAGGUUACGGGAAUUCCUGGUGUAGCGGUGAAAUGCGUAGAUAUCAGGAGGAACACCUGUGGCGAAAGCGCGUGACUGGACCAUAACUGACGCUGAGGAACGAAAGCCAGGGUAGCAAAAAG